UUCACCUACGGGGCGCAGCAGUCGGGAAUAUUGCGCAAUGGAGGGAACUCUGACGCAGUGACGCCGCGUAUAGGAAGAAGGUUUUCGGAUUGUAAACUAUUGUCGUGAGGGAAGAAAUUGACAGUACCUCAGGAGGAAGCUCCGGCUAACUAUGUGCCAGCAGCCGCGGUAAUACAUAGGGAGCAAGCGUUAUCCGGAUUUACUGGGUGUAAAGGGAGCGUAGACGGCUGUGCAAGUCUGAAGUGAAAGCCCAGGGCUCAACCCUGGGACUGCUUUGGAAACUGUGGAGCUAGAGUGCUGGAGAG
RNAcentral lists this ribosomal RNA (305 nucleotides) under uncultured bacterium. Its description in RNAcentral is "bacterial SSU rRNA". It matches the Rfam family "Bacterial small subunit ribosomal RNA", at positions 334 to 656 of the family's 1533-position model. The record is from RNAcentral.